GGGAGGCAGCAGUANUGAAUCUUCCGCAAUGGACGAAAGUCUGACGGAGCAACGCCGCGUGAGUGAAGAAGGUUUUCGGAUCGUAAAGCUCUGUUGUCAGGGAAGAACAAGUACGGAAGUAACUGUCCGUACCUUGACGGUACCUGACCAGAAAGCCACGGCUAACUACGUGCCAGCAGCCGCGGUAAUACGUAGGUGGCAAGCGUUGUCCGGAAUUAUUGGGCGUAAAGCGCGCGCAGGCGGCUUCUUAAGUCUGAUGUGAAAGCCCACGGCUCAACCGUGGAGGGUCAUUGGAAACUGGGAGGCUUGAGUGCAGAAGAGGAGAGCGGAAUUCCACGUGUAGCGGUGAAAUGCGUAGAGAUGUGGAGGAACACCAGUGGCGAAGGCGGCUCUCUGGUCUGUAACUGACGCUGAGGCGCGAAAGCGUGGGGAGCGAACAGGAUUAGAUACCCUGGUAGUCCACGCCGUAAACGAUGAGUGCUAAGUGUUGGAGGGUUUCCGCCCUUCAGUGCUGCAGCUAACGCAUUAAGCACUCCGCCUGGGGAGUACGGCCGCAAGGCUGAAACUCAAAGGAAUUGACGGGGGCCCGCACAAGCGGUGGAGCAUGUGGUUUAAUUCGAAGCAACGCGAAGAACCUUACCAGGUCUUGACAUCCCGCUGACCGGUCUGGAGACAGGCCUUUCCCUUCGGGGACAGCGGUGACAGGUGGUGCAUGGUUGUCGUCAGCUCGUGUCGUGAGAUGUUGGGUUAAGUCCCGCAACGAGCGCAACCCUUGAUCUUAGUUGCCAGCAUUCAGUUGGGCACUCUAAGGUGACUGCCGGUGACAAACCGGAGGAAGGUGGGGAUGACGUCAAAUCAUCAUGCCCCUUAUGACCUGGGCUACACACGUGCUACAAUGGAUGGUACAAAGGGCUGCAAGACCGCAAGGUUUAGCCAAUCCCAUAAAACCAUUCUCAGUUCGGAUUGCAGGCUGCAACUCGCCUGCAUGAAGCCGGAAUCGCUAGUAAUCGCGGAUCANCAUGCCGCGGUGAAUACGUUCCCGGGCCUUGUACACACCGCCCGUCACACCACGAGAGUUUGCAACACCCGAAGUCGGUGGGGUAACCCUUACGG
Molecule: ribosomal RNA, 1113 nt
Filed under: Pseudobacillus badius
Lineage: Bacteria; Bacillati; Bacillota; Bacilli; Caryophanales; Bacillaceae
Description: bacterial SSU rRNA
Rfam family: Bacterial small subunit ribosomal RNA
Source: RNAcentral